RNAcentral lists this ribosomal RNA (370 nucleotides) under uncultured bacterium. Its description in RNAcentral is "bacterial SSU rRNA". It matches the Rfam family "Bacterial small subunit ribosomal RNA", at positions 32 to 413 of the family's 1533-position model. The record is from RNAcentral.
AAUCAACGCUGGCGGCGCGCCUAACACAUGCAAGUCGAACGAGAAAGUGGAGCAAUCCAUGAGUAAAGUGGCGUACGGGUGAGUAACACGUGGAUCAUCUGCCCUUUUGUGGGGAAUACCGCUGGGAAACCGGUGACAAUACCGCAUAAUCUCGAGAGAGGAAAGCAGCAAUGCGCAGAAGGAGGAGUCCGCGGUCGAUUAGUUAGUUGGCAGGGUAAAAGCCUACCAAGACUGUGAUCGAUAGCCGGCCUGAGAGGGCACACGGCCACACUGGCACUGAAACACGGGCCAGACUCCUACGGGAGGCAGCAGUGGGGAAUCUUGCACAAUGGGGAAACCCUGAUGCAGCGACGCCGCGUGAGCGAUGAAG